UAUGGGUUGUAAACUGCUUUUGCAGGGGAAGAAUAAGGACUACGCGUAGUUUGAUGACGGUACUCUGCGAAUAAGCAUCGGCUAACUCCGUGCCAGCAGCCGCGGUAAUACGGAGGAUGCGAGCGUUAUCCGGAAUCAUUGGGUUUAAAGGGUCCGUAGGCGGGCUAAUAAGUCAGAGGUGAAAGCGCUCAGCUCAACUGAGCAACUGCCUUUGAAACUGUUAGUCUUGAAUGGUUGUGAAGUAGUUGGAAUGUGUAGUGUAGCGGUGAAAUGCUUAGAUAUUACACAGAACACCGAUAGCGAAGGCAUAUUACUAACAAUUAAUUGACGCUGAUGGACGAAAGCGUGGGGAGCGAACAGGAUUAGAUACCCUGGUAGUCCACGCUGUAAACGAUGG
This 397-nucleotide ribosomal RNA is filed under the name uncultured bacterium. Its description in RNAcentral is "bacterial SSU rRNA". It matches the Rfam family "Bacterial small subunit ribosomal RNA", at positions 417 to 812 of the family's 1533-position model. The record is from RNAcentral.